UUUAAAAUAUUAAAGACAGAGUAACAAAGUUAAUUAUUGCUCAGUUGCUGGAAUUUUUUCGCUCGUCUGCCCAGAUACAGUGCAACGGUAUAAGCACUCAAGCGGUUUAUCUGUAAGUUAAUGAAUCUAAUACCUUCUCUGAUCUCUCUUUGUUACUUUGAGCUUACCUGGGGUUUACAUUAACUAUUCCCAUAAAUGACGUUUAAUUAUUUUGAAAAAUAUGAAAGGAGCAAAUGACACAAAUACUUUCCAAACUGUUCCCAGCCUGAAAAUGAUUUCAUUUUUGUAGUUCAGGGGAGAACUUUUUUGUAGUAGGGGAGAGCUCACUUUAAACUUAAAUAAUUAUUUAUGCACUCCAGGAAAUUAAAUAAAUAAAUAAAUAAAUAAAUAAAUAAAUAAAAGAGAGAGAAAGAAAAAACACUUAAAAUCAAACACAAAACACUAACUCAGUCAUUACACUGUAUUAAGAUUUGGGCACAGUCAGUAACCCUUGUUUAAACUUGAACUCCUCAUUUACUGCCUCAUAUUAAAAACAGGACUCUGAAGCACAAAUAAGGUAACACUAAGUGUCUGCAUUCAAAUCAAAUCAGUUCUGCCAUAUGGCAAUGUGUUGCCCAGCACCUUCAAACCCUUAAUGGGUUCUGUAAAGCUUGCUUAUAAAUUCCCCUUCCAUAUAGCUUGCCCUGGCUACGAAGGCAGCAUUACACCAGCUGCAGGUGUUUCUGUGUAGUCAAGGACCAGCAUGCUGUGGAGGUUUUUUGAUUGCAGGAGGUUUCUGAUCACAUCUAAAUGGGAUCAGCUUACGAAAACUACUACUGGAGAGCAAGAAGACCGUAUGUCCUAUGGCAACAGAAGGAUCUGAGUCCAGCCCUGCUGUUGUUUGGAGUGUGAUCCUGGCCAGCCAGAGCUAUAUGAGCUGCCAUCUCUUUUCUUUCCCCUGUACCAUCUUUUGGUUGUACCAAAGCAUUUCUGGUUGCUCUGUGAUAGAGGAAGGAGGAACAGAAUUAAAGGGAGACAGAAUAUGGAAAUAA
RNAcentral lists this long non-coding RNA (1031 nucleotides) under Anas platyrhynchos platyrhynchos (common mallard). Its description in RNAcentral is "lncRNA (ENSAPLG00000031232.1)". The record is from RNAcentral. Lineage: Eukaryota; Metazoa; Chordata; Aves; Anseriformes; Anatidae.